UCCGGUGUCGUGAGCGGUGGAAGCGGUGGCCGUAGCUUCAUUCUGACGCCAUGAACACUGUUAUCUGCCACCGCCUAAGGCUAAGUGCAAAACUUCUUCUCUAUUCUUUCCCCAAACCCUCUUUCUUGUUCUCAACAACUACUUCCGAUUCUGUCUCCUUCACACCAGAGGUUGCACUGAAACUAUCCAAACGACUUCGUUUCAACACCGCCCAAAAACCCGAUUCCGUCAUCUCCUUCUUCCAAACCCACGGUUUCUCCGCCCCCCAGAUCCACCGCAUCCUCAGCAAAUGCCCCGAACUCAUAGUAUGCGACCCCACCCGAACGCUUUUCCCCAAAUUCCACUUCUUGGCCUCCAAAGGCGUUUCUGCAUCCGGCGUCGUUUCCAUUGUCACUAGGAACCCCCGAUUCCUCUGUCGCAGCCUCGAAAACUGCAUCUUCCCCACCUUCCAACUCCUCCGAAGGUUCUUUCCCUCCGACCUCAGAGCUCUCGCUGUUUUCUUCACCUGUCAUCGGCAACUGUCACUUGGCAUCAAACGUUGAAAGGUUGCUCGACGCCGGAGUCGCGCACGUCGGCAUUCGGCACUUGCUCUCCUCUCGGUCUUUUGUUCUCUGCUCCAACCUGAGAACCCUUGUGGAGGAAGUGAAGCUGUUGGGGUUUGACCCUCUGAAGGUGACCUUCGCUGUGGCCCUUGAGGCCAAAAGUACAGUUUCGAAACCCCUUUGGGAUGCCAAAGUCGACGUGUUGAAGAAAUGGGGUUGGUCCGAGGAUGAGGUUUUGGUUGCGUUUAGGAAACAGCCUAAAAUGAUGCACUGUUCCAUGGAGAAACUUGAUGCAGUGAUGGGGUUUUGGGUGGGUCGGCUUGGAUGGGAUCGUUCUACGCUUAUUGCGUACCCUUCGUUGUUUUUGUUCAGUUUGGAGAAAAGAGCUUUGGUUCUGCAGCAGCUUCUCUCCAGAGGAUUGGUGAAGAAGGAUGCUAGCUUCGUCACACCGUUUGUAAAGUCUGAUGAGGGGUUUCUGAAAAAGUAUGUGAGAUCUUUCACGGAGGAAACACCCUGGUUACUAGAGCUAUAUCAGAAGGGACAGGGAGCAUCCUAGCAUUUGGUUGUUGAGAUUUACUUUAACUCAUGCACAUACAUACAGAUUUUGGUGUAAUUCAUCUCUAACCACUAUCUCUUCUCCGACGAUCGUAAUGUGUUGUUUAUUCACUAUGAACAUUUUCCAAUUAAGUCCUAGUUGUGAAUAUUUUAUAGGUGAUUGAUCCAGGAGAGCAAAAGGUGUUGUUGUUAGAGAAAGCCUUUGCAGGACUGCUACUGUUUUGUGUGGAAGAAGAGAAUAAUUUGCAUCAUGUUGUUUCGUUGAAUACUGCUUUGAAGAAAUGAUCCUGAUCACGUUUAUUAUUAAAUAUGACAAUAAGAACACUAAUAUAUUAUCUAUCUGAUUGGCAAUGAGAAAGUGAGCAAGGUGCGAGGCAUUUUCAAAUGGCAAGAUGACAAAACAGAACCAGAAACACCCAACACUGCAAGCAGGCAAAGGAAUAAGGGAACAAAUUCUUAGUGAAUUGAGAGAGAAAGGAUGAAACCCAAAAUCCUUUAAAACAGUUACCACUGCUAUAACUUAGUUUUGACAUAAUUAUUUGUUCUUUAAAGUUCUCUCUUCUUAUUCUUUAGAAUAUUUUCCCCAAUUCCUAAUAAUAUUUUGCUUGCUA
Vigna angularis (adzuki bean) is the source of this 1708-nucleotide RNA transcript. RefSeq lists it as uncharacterized. The transcript is spliced from 2 exons. Lineage: Eukaryota; Viridiplantae; Streptophyta; Magnoliopsida; Fabales; Fabaceae. The record is from RefSeq and is a predicted model, not a curated record.